GGACUACUGGGGUUUCUAAUCCUGUUUGCUCCCCACGCUUUCGCGUCUCAGCGUCAGCAACGAUCCAGAGGGCCGCCUUCGCCGCCGGUAUUCCUCCUGAUAUCUACGCAUUUCACCGCUACACCAGGAAUUCUACCCUCCUCUAUCGCGCUCCAGCCGGCUAGUUUCCGAUGCCCUUCCGGGGCUGAGCCCCGGGCUUUCACAUCGGACUUGACCGACCGCCUACACGCCCUUUACGCCCAGUCAAUCUGAACAACGCUUGCACCCUCCGUCUUACCGCGGCUGCUGGCAC
This 292-nucleotide ribosomal RNA is filed under the name uncultured bacterium. RNAcentral's name for it is "partial 16S ribosomal RNA". The record is from RNAcentral.